CGAAAUGCGAUAAGUAAUGUGAAUUGCAGAAUUCAGUGAAUCAUCGAAUCUUUGAACGCACCUUGCGCUCCUUGGUAUUCCUUGGAGCAUGCCUGUUUGAGUAUCAUGAAAUCUUCAAAGUAAAUCUUUUGUUAACUCAAUUGGUUUCUACUUUGGUAUUGGAGGUCUUUGCAGCUUCACACCUGCUCCUCUUUGCUCAUUAGCUGGAUCUCAGUGUUAUGCUUGGUUCCACUCGGCGUGAUAAGUUAUCUAUCGCUGAGGACACUGUAAAAGGUGGCCAAGGUAAAUGCAGAUGAACCGCUUCUAAUAGUCCAUUGACUUGGACAAUACUUUUAUGAUCUGAUCUCAAAUCAGGUAGGACUACCCGCUGAACUUAAGC
RNAcentral lists this unclassified non-coding RNA (379 nucleotides) under plant metagenome. RNAcentral describes it as "partial contains 5.8S ribosomal RNA, internal transcribed spacer 2, and large subunit ribosomal RNA". The stretch from base 1 to 106 matches the Rfam family "5.8S ribosomal RNA", at positions 49 to 154 of the family's 154-position model. The record is from RNAcentral.